ACCAUCUCAACGGGGUGCGAUUGUUGUCAGACAACAUCGCUGAGAGCAGACCCGUAGAACCUGAUCCGGUUGGUACCGGCGUAGGGAUUUGAGCCACUAUCCUUU
Molecule: non-coding RNA, 105 nt
Filed under: Xenorhabdus innexi
Lineage: Bacteria; Pseudomonadati; Pseudomonadota; Gammaproteobacteria; Enterobacterales; Morganellaceae
Description: TPP sequence
Rfam family: TPP riboswitch aptamer (THI element)
About the family: Vitamin B(1) in its active form thiamin pyrophosphate (TPP) is an essential coenzyme that is synthesised by coupling of pyrimidine and thiazole moieties in bacteria. The previously detected thiamin-regulatory element, thi box was extended, resulting in a new, highly conserved RNA secondary structure, the THI element, which is widely distributed in eubacteria and also occurs in some archaea.
Source: Rfam by way of RNAcentral